RNAcentral lists this ribosomal RNA (385 nucleotides) under Biddulphia sp. RNAcentral's name for it is "partial small subunit ribosomal RNA". It matches the Rfam family "Eukaryotic small subunit ribosomal RNA", at positions 587 to 975 of the family's 1831-position model. Lineage: Eukaryota; Bacillariophyta; Biddulphiophyceae; Biddulphiales; Biddulphiaceae. The record is from RNAcentral.
AGCUCCAAUAGCGUAUAUUAAAGUUGUUGCAGUUAAAAAGCUCGUAGUUGGAUUUCUGCUUGUGUGUGGAACGGCGCUCAGAGAGUGUCCGGUCUAACACGCAGGCAUCCUUGGGAAAUGGCCUCUGGCAUUAAGUUGUCGGAGCGUCUCUCUUUCCCAUCGUUUACUGUGAAAAAAUUAGAGUGUUCAAAGCAGGCUUAUGCCGUUGAAUACAUUAGCAUGGAAUAAUAAGAUAGGACCUUGGUACUAUUUUGUUGGUUUGCGUACCUAGGUAAUGAUUAAUAGGGACAGUUGGGGGUAUUCGUAUUCAAUUGUCAGAGGUGAAAUUCUUGGAUUUAUGGAAGACGAACUACUGCGAAAGCAUUUACCAAGGAUGUUUUCAUUA